Long non-coding RNA from Protobothrops mucrosquamatus (brown spotted pit viper), 195 nucleotides. RefSeq lists it as uncharacterized. The transcript is spliced from 2 exons. NCBI's taxonomy places the organism in Eukaryota, Metazoa, Chordata, Lepidosauria, Squamata, Viperidae. The record is from RefSeq and is a predicted model, not a curated record.
GAGAACUUGAAAAUUUCUGGACACAGAAUAGGUACACUUCCAGUGAGUUACCUGCUCUUCUGCAUACACUGUCUGCUGGCCCAAUUUAUCAACAGUUUCAUACAGAAGAAUAAAAGGAAAACUGUUUGUUGAAAAAUGCAAUUGGAGGACCAAUCAGCCUUCCAGAGUCCCUUGGAGAUGGAUUGCAAUCACAAA